RNAcentral lists this ribosomal RNA (271 nucleotides) under uncultured archaeon. RNAcentral describes it as "partial 16S ribosomal RNA". It matches the Rfam family "Archaeal small subunit ribosomal RNA", at positions 477 to 747 of the family's 1478-position model. The record is from RNAcentral.
CAGCGCCACGAGUGGGAACUAUAAUUAUUGGGCCUAAAGCGUCCGUAGCCUGUUUAAUAAAUUUCUUGUGAAAUUGUUAAGCUUAACUUAACAACGUGCAGGAAAGACUGUUAAACUUGGGACUGGGAGGGGUUAGAAGUAUCUUUGGGGUAGCGGUAAAAUGUUAUAAUCCUAAAGAGACUACCAAUGGCGAAGGCAUCUAACCAGAACAGGUCCGACGGUGAGGGACGAAAGCUAGGGGAGCGAACCGGAUUAGAUACCCGCGUAGUCC